RNAcentral lists this transfer RNA (72 nucleotides) under Stegodyphus mimosarum. It matches the Rfam family "tRNA". Rfam says of the family: Transfer RNA (tRNA) molecules are approximately 80 nucleotides in length. Their secondary structure includes four short double-helical elements and three loops (D, anti-codon, and T loops). Further hydrogen bonds mediate the characteristic L-shaped molecular structure. tRNAs have two regions of fundamental functional importance: the anti-codon, which is responsible for specific mRNA codon recognition, and the 3' end, to which the tRNAs corresponding amino acid is attached (by aminoacyl-tRNA synthetases). tRNAs cope with the degeneracy of the genetic code in two manners: having more than one tRNA (with a specific anti-codon) for a particular amino acid; and 'wobble' base-pairing, i.e. permitting non-standard base-pairing at the 3rd anti-codon position. Lineage: Eukaryota; Metazoa; Arthropoda; Arachnida; Araneae; Eresidae. The record is from Rfam by way of RNAcentral.
GCCUUCGUGGUGUACUGGUCAGCACGCUCGGCGCAAAUCGAGAGGUCCGUGGUUCGAGUCCCUGCGAGGACA